UGUUGGUGUGGUUCAAUUAGAUAACAAUCUCCACAUAAGAUUAUAGAGUUUGUUAUUUGAUUGAGCCGUGCCAAUAUC
Molecule: non-coding RNA, 78 nt
Organism: Solanum tuberosum (potato)
Lineage: Eukaryota; Viridiplantae; Streptophyta; Magnoliopsida; Solanales; Solanaceae
Source: RefSeq, marked provisional